Long non-coding RNA from Oxyura jamaicensis (ruddy duck), 4807 nucleotides. RefSeq lists it as uncharacterized. The record is from RefSeq and is a predicted model, not a curated record. NCBI's taxonomy places the organism in Eukaryota, Metazoa, Chordata, Aves, Anseriformes, Anatidae. The transcript has 2 exons.
AGUAAUGACAUUCUGAAACUGGUCUUGGUCCCCACCGACCCACCCUCCUGCCUUCUCCCACUUUUUAGGCACAGAGUGCUGAUACACAACAAUUUGCACUUCAGUGAACAGAUAUUUUAUCAUUUGCAUUGCCUGAUAUGUUAAUCCUGCUGAGACAAAUUCACUCUUGAAAGCAGAAUCUGGCUAGUACUUCCCAGUCAGCUUAGACAUCACCUUGUGGACUUUGUUUGAGCACUCAAAACAGAACAUAAAAAUAUACAAAAAUUAAAAAAAAAAUAAAAGGGAGAGGAAUCUGUUUCAGAGCUUGAAAACAGAGCUAUUGAAAAAACAGGGUGAAAUACUGGCCUCUGUGAAAUCAGUGACAAAACUCCCCCUGUUACACAAACCAUUCGUGUUCUAAUGUUUCAAAGGAAAAUUGAUUUUCCUAGCUUCUCUAUUGACAUUAUGCUGAUAUGGCAAUAAGGAACUAUUCACAUCUACCAUACAUACUCGUACUGUGUUCACCACACUCAGUGUCAGAACUGCCUUUCACAAACAGGGAGAGAGAAAGUGGCAAUUGUUAAUAAAUUUCCUGGGCAGAUUUAUUUUACCUGUUGACAUUUUGAGAAGCAACUCAAUCCUCAUACUUUAAAAUCCAACUGUGCCUGUGGGACAUGACCAAUUUGCAUUAAAUCAUGAAGCUGUACCCUGACUAGAAGAGGAUAAUCACAGUUUGUGUUUAUGAAAAUUGGUAAAGUCAUUUGCUUUAUUAGUAACAAAUGUUUAACAAUUCAAGCUUCUCAAAGACCCUUCUGUGUUCUCUCUAGGAGGGUUUCAGUUUAUGCUGCCACUGUGCUUUAAGGAAAAACUGUGUGUAUCAUAUACAAUAAUGCAUUAUUCCGGACCCCCGUCCUACUUGAAAACCUGAGUGCUUUCUCAUACUCUGUGUUCUGCACUCCAGCUUGCUCCUUUUCAUGCGGAGCUUCUCACAUUUGUAAUUUUAAAUCAGCUCAGUACAAAGGCAAGGUGUUUUUGUUAAACAAGUGAUCAGGCUCCCUAAUGAACCAUAGUCUCCAUAAUAAAACCAACUUAACCACACAGUAAUUCUGGGUGUACAACAGUUAUUUCCUACAUCAUAUACAGGGUAAAACAUUCUGUCUGAAGUCAUGCUAUGAGAUAGCAAUUAUUCCCAGUUAUUAAAUCCUUAGUAUAGGUCAUGGUACGUACCUAAGGAUCAUGCCAUCACAGUAGAUUGUGCAAUACUUUAAAAACUUCACAAAGCUUAAUUAUCAACAUAAAUACAUCAAAUUAGAGAAACGAAAAAACUGCCUCCCCCCUCCAUACACUGGAGAAUUAUCAUAUCAGUACAAAACCCCGAUGAUCUGACCUGCAGAACAGAAGCUCAAGGUGACCUUUGGUUCAAGAGAAAAAACACUCAGGUUAGUCAAAUCAAGCAAAGUAAUGGGAGAAUUAUGCUUGCAUGUAAAGAAUGGCAGGUCCAUCACAACAAUUUCAACAAGAAAGCAGCAGACACCAGAAAGGGGACAUAGCCCUUCAGAUAACUGUAUCUCUCGAAACAUCUCAAAACUCAGGAAACCCCAUGGACCUUUUGAUAGGCUUCACAUCCUGGAGUGUCUUCUUCAAUCAAUGUGAAACAAAGCUUGGUUUUCAUAUGCUUCUUUGUUUAACCCAUCUAGCUAACCCCCUAUUAAUAUAUAGUUUUCAUCACUAAGGCUAUAAAUACUAUAUAUUUCCCUAAUGUAAUGGGUCUUUCUGCUCUCUGUAGCUUACUAUCAAAAGUGUGAUAACAAAAGUGUGACAGGAGAUGCAGACAGCUUUUCCUUUUGAGUCGAAGUGCACAAGGAGAUCAGAGAGAUUCAUAAACAUCUGCUUUCAAGCUUUUUUCAGUGUUAUUCCAACAACUGUUGGGAAAGAAAACAAAACAAAACAAACAAACAAACAAAAAACAACAACAACCAAAACCCUUUCUUUAUACAUUUGAGGGACAACAUGGACUGACAUUGUCUUUUCUGAGCUACUAGUACUCUGGCCUGAUGUAGGGGAGGACGAAACAUUCUGGCACCUUGUUCUAAUAAAUCUUCUUCCGAUUUCUCAUGGACAGCGCACUCUGUAAUUUAGAAACUUGGCAGGGAGGAAGUCCAAGUGCAGCAUCUUCAAAGACCGUGGCUUUAGUGAAAAUAUAAGUGAAUGAACUUGGAUUGAGUACAAAUAAGAAAUGCAUUCCUGGACCAAAGAGCUACAGCAUUAUCUUAACCUUAACACUAGUUCUGCUUGUCCAGAAGUCUGAAGUUUUGUUUUGUUUUAACGUAUAAGAUCAAAAACACAAAUUGCCUUCCUUUCCAGUGGGUGGAUGUAAUAUCUCAAACAGCUUUUCUCCCAGUGUAAAAGAAUUACUGCAGUGUUAUAAGUUUCUAGGUUUAGUGAGUUAAAAUUCAGGUCCUGUGGUGGGUCUGCCAGACCAUAUGAAGCGUACUUUAUGAGGCUUUUAUCUAUACAUCUGCAGCACAACACUGUGGCUUUAUUGCCUUGUUUAUCUUACUUUUUUUAUUUAUUUAUUCUUUGUCUUGUUUCUGCCACUGUUGUUUUUCACAGGGAGAACUUUACCAGUGGAUGGACACUUGGGGCCAAAACCAUAAUAAGGACUUUUGGUUAUUAAUGGUGCUGCCUUUAUGAAGAAGAUAUGAGAAAAACACACUCCAUAAACCUCUUUUAUAACAGUUUUUCUUUCCCUCCUCUGUCUGUUUGAAUCAGAGCAAGCAUGUGAGGUGUCUGCCUGAGGGGAGCCCAGCUUUACGACAAGGAGGCUGGAGUCAGAUUUUUUCUUAUUUCAGUGAAUCUUAUCUCAGGAAGACCUGAAGAGAAAUAAAACACAAGGCACUGCAGGAGCAGACUGAGGAACUAUUAACUUGAUGAGUUAGAUUGCUUAGAGGAGGUUGUUAUUACUGGAGCUCUAAUUGACGUCUGCCAGGUCUUGCCUCCUCCCCCUCCUUGGAUCAGCUUCAAACAACAGUUCUUCCUGUGUCUAAGAAAUCAAGCAUUUUAAGAUUAAAAAGCUUUAAAAUUGCCUGCAGCACAGGCUUACCCUGCUAAAUCAGCACAGGUUUAAAUGGACAGACUAACUCUUGAACUUUAUGCAGGACUUUCCAUUUUACAGGGGACUGCAGAGGAUCUUGAGUGUUGGUCAGCACCUUGCAGAAUGGGGUUAAAGUGAGCGAGGAAGUAAGCCGAUCUGAUUGGCUUAAGGUAAAGUAGCUCUUAGGUAGAGGUAGUCUAAGUACAUACCAUUCCCACCAUACACUGAGAAUCAGACAUUCCUCUUUUUGUUUUUCCCAAUAUCAACUAGUUUUAUGGUCUUUGAGUCUUUCACAGCUGCCCUCAGCUCACUACAGCCAUAAAAGUAGCAACUGGGUAUAUAUUGCUCAGGACAGGGAUUUCCAGUUUGGAUGUCAGUUACAGGUGCUGCUUUUGAUCCUCUUUAGCCUUUCAGUGGGUAUCAUUUCCCUUUCCAGGAACAGCAAAAGAACUUCUUCCCACCUCUCUCUGUAGAUUUAAGAAUGCUCAGUUCUCUCAGCCCCUUUUUGCAAUCCACCAGAGACCCAAUGGGGCUUGAGUAACGUCCUUCUCAUCAGCUCCCUAGACAGAAGGCUACUGGAACCAGGACCAUGCAACAGAGGGGAAGGAGGGAAGCAAAAGAAGACUCUGGAUGCUGAUUCAGCAGUCACAGUCUCCAGAGGCUGCUCAAAGGAAAUCUGGGUUCCUCUAAGUCCUGCGAUAUGAGGGAGGUAAUGUUUGGACAUUCAGUCAUCCUCUCCUCACACACUCUGAAAGAGGUGCAGAGCACACAUUUUUUAUGACCGUAUGCUUUGUAAAAUUCAUCCUCCAUUUUAUUCCUUUGGAUUUGUGUUGGAGAGAAUACACUUACUCAAAUACAAUAGUUUUAGGUAUAUGCACAAAAGACGUGAUGCUAACUUUUAUUAGUAAUUUACUAAUUGCAAAAUAUAUCUGGAUAUUUAUGAGACUUUCAAACAUAUUUUUUCUACACUUAUAAAGAUAAUUAUUGGUAAAUCUGCCAACUGCUUGUCUGUCUGCUCCUCUGUUGUGCACCCUGAUAGAGACCAUAGGCUUGCCUUGGUGUUCUAGACUGAAGGUGCACGUAGUCAUCUCAUUCCUUUGUUUAAAAAAUGUUCUGUUCCAGACUUGUUUCGCUGCUGGUAAAAAGAGAAAGGAUAGUGCAAAUGUGAAAGUAAGACUACAUGAUAUAACUCACAAGACAAUCUAACUUACGAAUUAAAAAGGAGAUUAAAAAGUUAUUAUUCACACAAUACCAUUCACUUGGCCUUGUUUCAGAUGCGUUUCUUAUCUGAUUUUCGCACACUAGAAAUAGAUAAUCUAUUUCUUAACACUUUUUCUUUCUAAUUAUCAUUACUAGCCACUGAAAACUAAAAAAAAAAAAAAAAAAAACUGUAAUGAAGGUUCAUAAUAUAGGUGUGGUGAGUAAGGAUAUUGUCCUCUCAUACACGAAGCACAUAUUAACCUUUAAUUUUGAUUAAUAAAUAAAGCUUUUGUCAUACUACAUCAUAUAAUGGUUUUUAAAUGUGGGAAAGUUAACAUUGUUUUUGAAACCUUCAUGUUGUGCUUAAAUAUUUCUUACAUUAGCUUUCCUAGUAAUUGUUAAGUACAGAGUCCACAAAAUCUGUUUCUUAUUAGACUAGCAGAGUUUAUAUAUUCUCCUUAACCAGAUUCAAGUUUCAAACUUCAACCAUAUUGUACUGUAACUUACUUUUUUAAAGUGUGUUUUGAGUUUCAA